This 557-nucleotide ribosomal RNA is filed under the name uncultured fungus. RNAcentral's name for it is "SSU rRNA". It matches the Rfam family "Eukaryotic small subunit ribosomal RNA", at positions 194 to 755 of the family's 1831-position model. The record is from RNAcentral. Lineage: Eukaryota; Fungi.
GGAAGGGGUGUAUUUAUUAGAUAAAAAACCAACGCCCUUCGGGGCUUCUUGGUGAUUCAUGAUAACUUCACGGAUCGCAUGGCCUUGCGCCGGCGACGGUUCAUUCAAAUUUCUGCCCUAUCAACUUUCGAUGGUAAGGUAUUGGCUUACCAUGGUUUCAACGGGUAACGGGGAAUUAGGGUUCGAUUCCGGAGAGGGAGCCUGAGAAACGGCUACCACAUCCAAGGAAGGCAGCAGGCGCGCAAAUUACCCAAUCCCGACACGGGGAGGUAGUGACAAUAAAUACUGAUACAGGGCUCUUUUGGGUCUUGUAAUUGGAAUGAGUACAAUUUAAACCUCUUAACGAGGAACAAUUGGAGGGCAAGUCUGGUGCCAGCAGCCGCGGUAAUUCCAGCUCCAAUAGCGUAUAUUAAAGUUGUUGCAGUUAAAAAGCCCGUAGUUGAAACUUGGGCCUGGCUGGCAGGUCCGCCUCACCGCGUGUACUUGUCCGGCCGGGCCUUUCCUUCUGGAGAACCUCAUGCCCUUCACUGGGUGUGCUGGGGAACCAGGACUUUUAC